Molecule: ribosomal RNA, 445 nt
Filed under: Escherichia coli
Lineage: Bacteria; Pseudomonadati; Pseudomonadota; Gammaproteobacteria; Enterobacterales; Enterobacteriaceae
Also listed under: 1 other name
Description: partial 23S ribosomal RNA
Rfam family: Bacterial large subunit ribosomal RNA
Source: RNAcentral
GGAGCGUUCUGUAAGCCUGCGAAGGUGUGCUGUGAGGCAUGCUGGAGGUAUCAGAAGUGCGAAUGCUGACAUAAGUAACGAUAAAGCGGGUGAAAAGCCCGCUCGCCGGAAGACCAAGGGUUCCUGUCCAACGUUAAUCGGGGCAGGGUGAGUCGACCCCUAAGGCGAGGCCGAAAGGCGUAGUCGAUGGGAAACAGGUUAAUAUUCCUGUACUUGGUGUUACUGCGAAGGGGGGACGGAGAAGGCUAUGUUGGCCGGGCGACGGUUGUCCCGGUUUAAGCGUGUAGGCUGGUUUUCCAGGCAAAUCCGGAAAAUCAAGGCUGAGGCGUGAUGACGAGGCACUACGGUGCUGAAGCAACAAAUGCCCUGCUUCCAGGAAAAGCCUCUAAGCAUCAGGUAACAUCAAAUCGUACCCCAAACCGACACAGGUGGUCAGGUAGAGAAU